This 1346-nucleotide long non-coding RNA is filed under the name Scophthalmus maximus (turbot). Its description in RNAcentral is "lncRNA (ENSSMAG00000025692.1)". The record is from RNAcentral. Lineage: Eukaryota; Metazoa; Chordata; Actinopteri; Pleuronectiformes; Scophthalmidae.
GUUCUCUCGUGCCAAGCCCAGGUGAUUACCACCCCCCCACGUUAUCCAUUACCUCCCCCCUCCUCCUCCUCCUCCUCCUCGGUACCGACAGACCGACAAAUCCCCUCCCGGUGCUCUCUCCCCCCUCCUCUCAUCCCCCCUCCCCUCCCCUCCCCUCCCCUCUCUCUCUGUCUCCUUCCCCGCCAGCCAUGAUCCGUGGCGGGCUAAUUCCCAGACGGUCUUCUCCUCCUUCCUCCUCCUUCCUCCUCCUCCUCUUCUCCUCAUCACCCUCCUCCUCCUCCUCCUCCUCCUCCUCCUCGCGGGCCCGAUCAAAUCGAGUCGACCACACGGGACUGACCACGCACCCACUUCAUUCGUGAGCAAGCGUGUCUGUGUGUUGCGUGUGCGCGCAAGCGCAUGUGUGCGCGCAAGUGUGCGAGGUCAUGUCGGGCAUGACGAGCGGCAUGUGUGUGGAGAGCGACCUCUCCUCGAUGCUCCAGAGAAGCUCCGCCCCCUCCCACCAUCACCCAAAUCACCACGUGUACGGCGGACAGACGCAGGUGAGUCGUCUCCGAGGUCACGUGAACGGACUUUACGCAGUUUUACUCUCACAGCUUCUCUCAACCACGUCAUUCUCCGAGAAACAGCUGUAAACAGAUGAUAGUGUGAACGUAGUGGAGCACUUAGAUCCAGAUGUUCCCCUCCGGAGGAAGUGGAGACCAAACACCGAGCCAGAAGAGAGGGAACACGGGCCUGACAUCCAUACGUGGUCGAGGGCCACCAUGAAGGUCAUGAAUUACAGAUUCAAUGGAGCCUCGAAGGAACACACGGGCAACAACAGGGUCCAGAUAAAACAAUAUAUGUAACUGGACUGGAGCCUACUGGAAUUUGUGCCGAUUCGGUCGGUGGUCCAGUCACCUGCCCUUCCUCAGAAUCGUUGCCUGUCUUGGUGGAGGUCUUGUUGAGGCUCUGAGGUCACCAGAUUUCUGGGUUUACAGUGGAGUAGACUCUGGCUUGACGAAUGGCGAUCCUUGACCUUCCAGUUGCCUCAUUUCAGUUCCUCAAUCGCCCCGUGGCUGUUGCCAGAGCCCGGAUGUUCGCUACACAGUCUAGAGAUGAAGAGUGAGGAAACGUGGGAAAACCAAAGGUCCAACUGACUGACAGAUGGUACUGACGACCCUGGAGCGCUGCCACUAGCAAGAUUAGAAAUCUCAAGUUCCCUCUGGUAUUUUUCUUUGGAAAUUAAAGCAGGUCUUGGUGAGAAUUUCCAGGAAACACCCGAAUCGUACCGCUCGUAGCCAUAGUUGAAUAAUUCCGCCCUGGGAAUCAUUGGUCCAUCAUUGGUUCCAGUUUGUGUAAACGACAUU